RNAcentral lists this ribosomal RNA (494 nucleotides) under uncultured bacterium. RNAcentral describes it as "partial 16S ribosomal RNA". It matches the Rfam family "Bacterial small subunit ribosomal RNA", at positions 28 to 507 of the family's 1533-position model. The record is from RNAcentral.
GACGAACGCUGGCGGCGUGCUUAACACAUGCAAGUCGAACGGUGAAGCGCCUUCCUUUUUGGUGGGUGUGGAUGAGUGGCGAACGGGUGAGUAACACGUGAGUAACCUGCCCCCUUCUUCUGGAUAACCGCAUGAAAGUGUGGCUAAUACGGGAUAUUCUGGGUCUGUCGCAUGAUGGGUCUGGGAAAGAUAUUGUUUCGGUGGGGGAUGGGCUCGCGGCCUAUCAGCUUGUUGGUGGGGUGAUGGCCUACCAAGGCGGUGACGGGUAGCCGGCCUGAGAGGGUGGACGGUCACACUGGGACUGAGACACGGCCCAGACUCCUACGGGAGGCAGCAGUGGGGAAUAUUGCACAAUGGGCGCAAGCCUGAUGCAGCGACGCCGCGUGAGGGAUGGAGGCCUGCGGGUUGUGAACCUCUUUCACCAGUGAAGCAGGCCUGCCUCGUUUGUGGGUGGGUUGACGGUAGCUGGAUAAGAAGCGCCGGCUAACUACGUG